AGAGUUUGAUCAUGGCUCAGGACGAACGCUGGCGGCGUGCCUAAAACAUGCAAGUCGAACGGGGGCUUCGGCCCUAGUGGCGAACGGCGGAGUAAUACAUAAGCAACGUGCCCUGAAGACCGGGAUAGUCAGUGGAAACGCUGGGUAAUACCGGAUGUGGCCCUUCUUAGGAUCUAGGAAGGAUCAAAUGGUUUUUCGCUUUGGGAGCGGCUUAUGGCCUAUCAGCUAGUUGGCGAGGUAACGGCUCACCAAGGCGACGACGGGUAGCUGGUCUGAGAGGACGAUCAGCCCGAGUGGGACUGAGACACGGCCCACACACCUACGGGUGGCAGCAGUUGGGAAUCUUGCACAAUGGGGGAAACCCUGAUGCAGCGACGCCGCGUGGAGGAUGACGGGUCUAGGCCUGUAAACUCCUUUUAUCGGGAAAGACUUAGGACGGUACCCGAUGAAUAAGGACCGGCUAACUACGUGCCAGCCGCCGCGGUAAUACA
Molecule: ribosomal RNA, 491 nt
Filed under: uncultured bacterium
Lineage: Bacteria
Description: bacterial SSU rRNA
Rfam family: Bacterial small subunit ribosomal RNA
Source: RNAcentral